ACUCAGGUGUUGUUGGGUAGGGGAGCGUUCUGUAAGCCUGCGAAGGUGGCCUGUGAGGGUUGCUGGAGGUAUCAGAAGUGCGAAUGCUGACAUAAGUAACGAUAAAGCGGGUGAAAAGCCCGCUCGCCGGAAGACCAAGGGUUCCUGUCCAACGUUAAUCGGGGCAGGGUGAGUCGACCCCUAAGGCGAGGCCGAAAGGCGUAGUCGAUGGGAAACGGGUUAAUAUUCCCGUACUUGGUGUUACUGCGAAGGGGGGACGGAGAAGGCUAUGUUGGCCGGGCGACGGUUGUCCCGGUUUAAGCGUGUAGGUGUGUGUUCCAGGUAAAUCCGGUUCACUUUAACACUGAGGCGUGACGACGAGGCACUACGGUGCUGAAGCAACAAAUGCCCUGCUUCCAGGAAAAGCCUCUAAGCAUCAGGUAACAUCAAAUCGUACCCCAAACCGACACAGGUGGUCAGGUAGAGAAUACCAAGGCGCUUGAGAGAACUCGGGUGAAGGAACUAGGCAAAAUGGUGCCGUAACUUCGGGAGAAGGCACGCUGACACGUAGGUGAAGUGAUUUACUCAUGGAGCUGAAGUCAGUCGAAGAUACCAGCUGGCUGCAACUGUUUAUUAAAAACACAGCACUGUGCAAACACGAAAGUGGACGUAUACGGUGUGACGCCUGCCCGGUGCCGGAAGGUUAAUUGAUGGGGUCAGCGCAAGCGAAGCUCCUGAUCGAAGCCCCGGUAAACGGCGGCCGUAACUAUAACGGUCCUAAGGUAGCGAAAUUCCUUGUCGGGUAAGUUCCGACCUGCACGAAUGGCGUAAUGAUGGCCAGGCUGUCUCCACCCGAGACUCAGUGAAAUUGAACUCGCUGUGAAGAUGCAGUGUACCCGCGGCAAGACGGAAAGACCCCGUGAACCUUUACUAUAGCUUGACACUGAACAUUGAGCCUUGAUGUGUAG
This 947-nucleotide ribosomal RNA is filed under the name Salmonella enterica. RNAcentral describes it as "partial 23S ribosomal RNA". It matches the Rfam family "Bacterial large subunit ribosomal RNA", at positions 1211 to 2141 of the family's 2925-position model. Lineage: Bacteria; Pseudomonadati; Pseudomonadota; Gammaproteobacteria; Enterobacterales; Enterobacteriaceae. The record is from RNAcentral.